GACGAACGCUGGCGGUGUGCUUAACACAUGCAAGUGGUGCGACGAACCAGAGCUUGCUCUGGGGCAAAGCCGCGAACGGGUGAGUAACACGUGGGGUAAUCUACCCCCGAUGACCGGGACAACCCCGAGGAAACUCGGGCUAAUACCGGAUGUGGUACGGAGACAUAAGUCUCUUUACUAAAGGUAGCUUCGGCUUCCGCAUUGGGAGGGGCCCGCGGCCCAUUAGCUAGUUGGUGGGGUCAAGGCCUACCAAGGCAACGAUGGGUAGCUGGUCUGAGAGGACGAUCAGCCACACUGGGACUGAGACACGGCCCAGACUCCUACGGGAGGCAGCAGUGGGGAAUCUUGCGCAAUGCGCGAAAGCGUGACGCAGCAACACCGCGUGAGGGAAGACGGCCUUAGGGUUGUAAACCUCUUUCAGAUGGGACGAAGGUGAUGCGGUGAAUAGCCGAUGUCAUUGACGGUACCGUCAGAAGAAGCUCCGGCUAACUACGUGCCAGCAGCCGCGGUAAU
Molecule: ribosomal RNA, 513 nt
Filed under: uncultured bacterium
Lineage: Bacteria
Description: bacterial SSU rRNA
Rfam family: Bacterial small subunit ribosomal RNA
Source: RNAcentral